Oncorhynchus masou masou (cherry salmon) is the source of this 1977-nucleotide long non-coding RNA. RefSeq lists it as uncharacterized. NCBI's taxonomy places the organism in Eukaryota, Metazoa, Chordata, Actinopteri, Salmoniformes, Salmonidae. The record is from RefSeq and is a predicted model, not a curated record. The transcript has 4 exons.
UUUGCCAUGUUUCUGUAGAUAUUAUGGAGCUAAUUUGGAAUAUUUUUCGGAGUUGUCAUGGCCGCAAUUUCCGGUCGUUUUCUCAGCCAAACGUGAAGAACUGACGGAGCUAAUUUUGGCUACAAAAUAAUUUAUGGAAAAAAAGGAACAUUUGCUACCAAACUGGGAGUCUCGUGAGUGAAAAAAUCCGAAGCACAAAGGUGUAAUGGAUUUCCUCCUCUUCGUCUGAAGUAUUGCACGGAUCGGACCAAAACGUAGCGUGGUGUAACGGAUUUCCCCCUCUUCGUCUGAAGUGUUGCAAGAAUCGGACCAAAACACAGCGUGAGCUGGCUGACUGCGCAGGACAGACGGGAGACUCUGGCAGCUCCGGACAGACGGGAGACUCUGGCAGUUCCGGACAGACGGGAGACUCUGGCAGUUCCGGACAGACGGGAGACUCUGGCAGCUCCAGACAGACGGGAGACUCUGGCAGCUCCGGACAGACGGGAGACUCUGGCAGCUCCGGACAGACGGGAGACUAGAUAACGAGCAGAGUCAACAAAAUAAUGUGGUUACAGAGGGUGCAACAGGUCAGCACCUCCGGAGUAAUUAUCAGUUGGCUUUUCAUAGCCGAAAAUUGAGAGGUUGAGAGAGGUAGAGAGAGAGAGAGAGAGAUGCAGUAUAGUAACAAUGAAAAAUAACAGUGCUAUGAGUUUGUUAGGGAUACCUAUGUUUCUAACACACACCUAAACAAAACUACAAGCUAUAGAAGAGCUUUAAAGUCCUUACCUAUGCAAUGUCCAUCAGUAGAGGGAAUCUCAGUCUGUUCCUGGACUGAAUGGCAGUCCUUUUUGUUUCCUCUCUUGGAACGCUAACAGACAAAAGGUAAAGAAAAUGGUACAGAGAAUAAAUAAAUGGAACACUUCUUAAUCCAAGGCAACAAUUUAGCGAUUAAUAAAACAUAUUUAUUUCAUGUACAUAUUUGUCUUAUCAUAGCCACAUCAAUAACAUAGGCACAUAACUGGAACAAAAAACAAUUGCUAACUCCCUGCUAUACCUUGAAGUUGAUCCUGAGUUUGGUCAUUGAAAAGCAAAGGAAGCUCCUUCUUGCUUUCUGCUCAGCCCCCCUCUCUGUCUCAGCCUGGUCUGAUGGGUUUUUUGCAUCAGAAGCUGGUCUUGACGCCUCCUUGCAUCCCUGUACCAGCUGCUGGGUCAAGGACUUUACCAGGACUCUGUCAAAUGCAGGGUCCUGGGAGGAAAUAGCUGCUUGCAGAGUGUUAUAAGAGCCAAACUCCUCCAUGAGGUUUUUAUGGACACCUCUGAACACCCAGUGGAUGUACAGGUUCUGGGAAUAUGCCUGUGUCCUGGAGAAUCUGGAUGCAGCACAGAACUCAGACAGGACUUGUCUGAUGAGUUGCUGAGAUUUCUGUCAUGUCUGCUGCCUGUUGGGAGGGUCCAUCUAGGGCUGAGGGUCUGAUCUUUGAUAGCAACCUUAUCACCAGUAUGGUGACCAAACAGAUGACAUCAUCUUUGCUGGAGUACAUCAAGUACUGCAGUGGGAAUGCAGUGGCACCGCUGAUGUCCGGGGUGAUUAAGAGCUCCCUCAGAUGGCCAGAGCUGCUGGGGGAUGCACACCUCCUUCUCUUCAAUGUCAAUCCCAUCUCCCCUUGGUACUAAAGAGGUUCCCUUGCUGGUGAAAGACGGAGUGGAGGAUCGAAAAGAGGCUUUAGCACUCGGCGGUCGACUGCUGUCAGUCAUUGGACUGUUACAAUACAGGUGUUCAUCUGUGUGUGCCAUCAUAUUUGUCUUUAGGUCACUUGAAGAAAUCUCUGGCAUUUUAGAGACCCAGGUGUCGAUGCAGGAGUUCCUGAUGAUGGGGCAGGUCAGAUCAAAACGCACUUCGUCAGGGAUGGGAGUGCCAGGGAGGUUGAUCUCUAACUCACACUCUGACCUAGGACUCUUUGAAGAGCUUUGAAGGAACUACGACCAUUUAAAGAA